AGAGCUGGGAAUGGAUCUCAUAGUUGUUCAAGGAAUUGUCAAGGACAUAAGAAUUUGACAAAGAAAUAUGUCAAGAUUAAAGACAAAGAAUGAAAUUGAUAGCAAAAGUGGUUCCAAAGACUUCUAUUUAUACAAUAAUGAAGAUUAUAAAAGUUUAUGGUACUUUCUAUAGAAGUUUUUUGAAGUCUAAAGAAGCUUCUAGAAGUCUAAAAAGGCUUCUAGAAGCUUGUAGAACUUUCUAAAAGAUUGUAGAAGAUUCUACAAGUAUCUAGAAGGUUUUAAAAAAAUUUAGAAGAUUUUAGAAGGUCCCAAAAUGUAAUAAUUUGGAAUAUGUCUAUGCUAGAAAUUGUGAUUAAGAAUGAUACUUUAUAGCUGCUAGUAAGCAUUA
This 388-nucleotide long non-coding RNA is filed under the name Physcomitrium patens. RNAcentral describes it as "long non-coding RNA (PPAT_LNC006811)". The record is from RNAcentral. Lineage: Eukaryota; Viridiplantae; Streptophyta; Bryopsida; Funariales; Funariaceae.